CUCUGAUUGGCUGGCCGGAGGCGGAGCGAUUGUCAGGCGGCCCAAUCGGAGCGUGGUUUCCCACGGGCUCCCGCGGCCCCGCCCCCACGGCCUCCGGUGGAGGCUCCCUGGCAGCUCCCAUUGGCUGCCGGCGAGCGGUCCAGAGCUCGGCGGGGCACAUCUGCGCCGCCGCCGUCGGGCGCUCAGCUCUGCAGCGCGGAGAUCGCUUUGGAGCUCUCAGCUCCAGGGCCCCAGCGGCCCCGCAUUGUGCCCGGCGCGGGCGCGGGCGCGGGGAUCUGGGGCGGGCUUUGCAGAGCGCAUUUCCUGGAGGUUCUGCUUCUCAGCCACAGAUGGAAAAGAUGGAAUAUCUCUUCCUAGCUCCUAACCUAGCUGUCUCAGUCCAUUCAGGCCACUGUAAUAAAGUACCAGAAACCAGGUUGCUAGUUGAUGGCUGCAUUCCAGAUGUUAACACUGUCAGAAGCUUGACUUCCAUGUGGUAUUAUGACAAGUACUGGAGAAGGCUUAUGAUCGCCCAGUGGAUGAGACAUGUAUCCGUGCAUACAUGGAUCUGUGCAUACAUGAAGACAGGACUGUAAGGCAGAAGGAGAAGUAUGCAAAACUUAGAAGAGAAAUGCCUGUUGUGUUAGGAUCUGCAGAGGAGAUCUUUUCUCCUGAUCACUGCCAUAAAUAUUUGAAGAUGAGAUCGGGGGGGUCCUCAAAUUAUUGUCUGCGGACCAAAUCCUGCAGGCUUUCUGGUUUUGUGCAAUCAUUGAAAUACAAAUACUUUUUAUAUUUUUAAAUGGCUGAGAAUUAAAAAAACCCCACAAGGGCAAUAUAGUCAUGUGCCACAAACCAUGUUUCAGUCAGUAAUGGGUCAUACAUUGUUCAGUGGCCCCAUAUAAGAUUUCGUUGUCUGCGAUGUUGUAGCUGGUUUAGUUUGUAUACAUACAUUCUAUGAUGUUUGUACAACGAUGAAGUAGCCUAACGAUGAGUUUCUCAAAAUGUAUCCCCCUCAUUAAGUGAUACACAGCUGUAAUAAUUUGUGCCCUGUGAAAAUAAUAUGAAUUUCAAAUUUCAGUGUUCACAAUAAAGUUUUAUUGGAACAAAGCCAUACUUGCUCAUAUUGCCUGUGGUUGCUUUUACAUUCCAAUAACAGAAGCGAAUCAUCACGACAGAGAGAGUAUGGCCUUCAAAGC
Molecule: long non-coding RNA, 1175 nt
Filed under: Heterocephalus glaber (naked mole-rat)
Lineage: Eukaryota; Metazoa; Chordata; Mammalia; Rodentia; Bathyergidae
Description: lncRNA (ENSHGLG00100039290.1)
Source: RNAcentral